UACGAAGGGUGCUAGCGUUGUUCGGAAUCACUGGGCGUAAAGCGUGCGUAGGCUGCUUAUCAAGUCAGAGGUGAAAUCCUUGGGCUCAACCCAAGAACUGCCUUUGAAACUGUUAGGCUGGAGUGUCGGAGGGGAUAGGGGAAUUUCUAAUGUAGUGGUGAAAUACGUAGAUAUUAGAAGGAACACCGGUGGCGAAGGCGCCUAUCUGGACGACAACUGACGCUGAGGCACGAAAGCGUGGGGAUCAAACAGG
Molecule: ribosomal RNA, 253 nt
Filed under: uncultured bacterium
Lineage: Bacteria
Description: partial 16S ribosomal RNA
Rfam family: Bacterial small subunit ribosomal RNA
Source: RNAcentral